UACGAAGGGGGCUAGCGUUGCUCGGAAUCACUGGGCGUAAAGCGCACGUAGGCGGCUUUUUAAGUCAGAGGUGAAAUCCUGGAGCUCAACUCCAGAACUGCCUUUGAUACUGGAGAGCUUGAGUCCGGGAGAGGUGAGUGGAACUGCGAGUGUAGAGGUGAAAUUCGUAGAUAUUCGCAAGAACACCAGUGGCGAAGGCGGCUCACUGGCCCGGUACUGACGCUGAGGUGCGAAAGCGUGGGGAGCGAACAGG
This 253-nucleotide ribosomal RNA is filed under the name uncultured bacterium. RNAcentral's name for it is "partial 16S ribosomal RNA". It matches the Rfam family "Bacterial small subunit ribosomal RNA", at positions 524 to 776 of the family's 1533-position model. The record is from RNAcentral.